This 373-nucleotide ribosomal RNA is filed under the name uncultured Flavobacteriaceae bacterium. RNAcentral describes it as "bacterial SSU rRNA". It matches the Rfam family "Bacterial small subunit ribosomal RNA", at positions 423 to 793 of the family's 1533-position model. Lineage: Bacteria; Pseudomonadati; Bacteroidota; Flavobacteriia; Flavobacteriales; Flavobacteriaceae. The record is from RNAcentral.
UUGUAAACUGCUUUUAUACAGGAAGAAACACUCCCUCGUGAGGGAGCUUGACGGUACUGUAAGAAUAAGGAUCGGCUAACUCCGUGCCAGCAGCCGCGGUAAUACGGAGGAUCCAAGCGUUAUCCGGAAUCAUUGGGUUUAAAGGGUCCGUAGGCGGGAUAAUAAGUCAGCGGUGAAAGUCUGUGGCUCAACCAUAGAAUUGCCAUUGAUACUGUUGUUCUUGAGUGUUUAUGAAGUGGUUAGAAUAUGUAGUGUAGCGGUGAAAUGCUUAGAUAUUACAUGGAAUACCGAUUGCGAAGGCAGAUCACUAAUAAAAUACUGACGCUGAUGGACGAAAGCGUAGGUAGCGAACAGGAUUAGAUACCCCUGGUAG